GACAGAGGCCCCAAGCGUUAGGCGGAAUCACUGGGCUUAAAGCGUGUGUAGGCGGAUCGUUAAGUGUCUUGUGAAAUCCCACGGCUCACCCGUGGAACUGCUGGGCAUACUGGCGAUCUUGGGCCAACUAGGGGCAGCCGGAACAAGCGGUGGAGCGGUGAAAUGCGUAGAUAUCAGGAGGAACACCGAUGGCGAAGGCAGGUCUCUGGGCAUUAACUGACGCUGAGGAGCGAAAGCAUGGGGAGCGAACAGG
RNAcentral lists this ribosomal RNA (253 nucleotides) under uncultured bacterium. Its description in RNAcentral is "partial 16S ribosomal RNA". It matches the Rfam family "Bacterial small subunit ribosomal RNA", at positions 524 to 776 of the family's 1533-position model. The record is from RNAcentral.